Molecule: transfer RNA, 71 nt
Filed under: Solemya velum (Atlantic awning clam)
Lineage: Eukaryota; Metazoa; Mollusca; Bivalvia; Solemyida; Solemyidae
Description: tRNA-Gln
Rfam family: tRNA
About the family: Transfer RNA (tRNA) molecules are approximately 80 nucleotides in length. Their secondary structure includes four short double-helical elements and three loops (D, anti-codon, and T loops). Further hydrogen bonds mediate the characteristic L-shaped molecular structure. tRNAs have two regions of fundamental functional importance: the anti-codon, which is responsible for specific mRNA codon recognition, and the 3' end, to which the tRNAs corresponding amino acid is attached (by aminoacyl-tRNA synthetases). tRNAs cope with the degeneracy of the genetic code in two manners: having more than one tRNA (with a specific anti-codon) for a particular amino acid; and 'wobble' base-pairing, i.e. permitting non-standard base-pairing at the 3rd anti-codon position.
Source: RNAcentral
CUGUAAUAUGGUGUAAGGUGCACUAAGAAUUUUGAUUUCUUAUGAUUAGGUUCAAUUCCUUUUAUUGCAGA